AGGCAUGUAGCUCAGUUGGUAGAGCGUUGGAUUGUUAAUCCAUUGGUCGUAGGUUCGAGCCCUACCUUGCCUGCCA
RNAcentral lists this transfer RNA (76 nucleotides) under Candidatus Asgardarchaeum californiense. RNAcentral's name for it is "tRNA-Asn". It matches the Rfam family "tRNA". Rfam says of the family: Transfer RNA (tRNA) molecules are approximately 80 nucleotides in length. Their secondary structure includes four short double-helical elements and three loops (D, anti-codon, and T loops). The record is from RNAcentral. Lineage: Archaea; Promethearchaeati; Candidatus Asgardarchaeia (ex Tamarit et al. 2024); Candidatus Asgardarchaeales (ex Tamarit et al. 2024); Candidatus Asgardarchaeaceae.